CUGAAUCUGUCAAUUCGCAUGCGUUAUACUUGUUCUGUUAUGCUUAUGAUUGGGCUACAAGUUUGUUUGCGUUGCUAUUUACUAACUCAUGGCUAUUCUUUUCAGUGGAUUCAAUUGCCAUUAGUCCCAUUCGAUCGAGGAAAGUCGAGUCCAUUUGAUUUUUCAGAUUCGAGGACGAAUCUUUUUGAGGAAGGGGGGAAUGAUACGAGUCUCAAAGGCCCAACCCAAGCCCAAACAAGAAGACAAACCAUGCUUACUUGAAAUCAGGCCAAAUUGUUAAAGUG
Molecule: long non-coding RNA, 284 nt
Filed under: Gossypium raimondii (Peruvian cotton)
Lineage: Eukaryota; Viridiplantae; Streptophyta; Magnoliopsida; Malvales; Malvaceae
Description: long non-coding RNA (GRAI_LNC010352)
Source: RNAcentral